AGAGCGAACGCUGGCGGCAGGCCUAACACAUGCAAGUCGAGCGCCCCGCAAGGGGAGCGGCAGACGGGGGAGUAACACGUGGGAACGUACCCUUUGGUUCGGAACAACACAGGGAAACUUGUGCUAAUACCGGAUAAGCCCUUACGGGGAAAGAUUUAUUGCCAAAGGAUCGGCCCGCGUCUGAUUAGCUUGUUGGUGAGGUAACGGCUCACCAAGGCUACGAUCAGUAGCUGGUCUGAGAGGAUGAUCAGCCUCACUGGGACUGAGACACGGCCCAGACUCCUACGGGAGGCAGCAGUGGGGAAUAUUGGACAAUGGGCGCAAGCCUGAUCCAGCCAUGCCGCGUGGAUGAUGAAGGCCCUAGGGUUGUAAAGUCCUUUCGACGGGGAAGAUAAUGACGGUACCCGUAGAAGAAGCCCCGGCUAACUUCGUGCCAGCAGCCGC
This 444-nucleotide ribosomal RNA is filed under the name uncultured bacterium. RNAcentral describes it as "SSU rRNA". It matches the Rfam family "Bacterial small subunit ribosomal RNA", at positions 26 to 518 of the family's 1533-position model. The record is from RNAcentral.